CCUACGGGCUGCAGCAGUGGGGAAUAUUGCACAAUGGGCGCAAGCCUGAUGCAGCCAUGCCGCGUGUAUGAAGAAGGCCUUCGGGUUGUAAAGUACUUUCAGUGAGGAGGAAGGCAUGAUGCUUAAUACGCAUCGUGAUUGACGUUACUCACAGAAGAAGCACCGGCUAACUCCGUGCCAGCAGCCGCGGUAAUACGGAGGGUGCAAGCGUUAAUCGGAAUUACUGGGCGUAAAGCGCACGCAGGCGGUCUGUUAAGUCAGAUGUGAAAUCCCCGGGCUCAACCCGGGAACUGCAUUUGAAACUGGCAGGCUUGAGUCUCGUAGAGGGGGGUAGAAUUCCAGGUGUAGCGGUGAAAUGCGUAGAGAUCUGGAGGAAUACCGGUGGCGAAGGCGGCCCCCUGGACGAAGACUGACGCUCAGGUGCGAAAGCGUGGGGAGCAAACAGGAUUAGAUACCCGAGUAGUC
RNAcentral lists this ribosomal RNA (465 nucleotides) under uncultured bacterium. Its description in RNAcentral is "bacterial SSU rRNA". It matches the Rfam family "Bacterial small subunit ribosomal RNA", at positions 338 to 795 of the family's 1533-position model. The record is from RNAcentral.